CAUGGCUCAGGACGAACGCUGGCGGCGUGCUUAACACAUGCAAGUCGAACGAUGAAGGGGAGCUUGCUCCUUGGAUUAGUGGCGAACGGGUGAGUAACACGUGAGUAACCUGCCCUGGACUCUGGGAUAACCCCGAGAAAUCGGAGCUAAUACCGGAUAGGACCUUGGAUCGCAUGAUCUGGGGUGGAAAGUUUUUCGGUCUGGGAUGGACUCGCGGCCUAUCAGCUUGUUGGUGAGGUAAUGGCUCACCAAGGCGUCGACGGGUAGCCGGCCUGAGAGGGUGACCGGCCACACUGGGACUGAGACACGGCCCAGACUCCUACGGGAGGCAGCAGUGGGGAAUAUUGCACAAUGGGCGCAAGCCUGAUGCAGCAACGCCGCGUGCGGGAUGACGGCCUUCGGGUUGUAAACCGCUUUUAGUAAGGAAGAAGGGGAGCUUGCU
This 442-nucleotide ribosomal RNA is filed under the name barley rhizosphere bacterium LJ11. RNAcentral's name for it is "bacterial SSU rRNA". It matches the Rfam family "Bacterial small subunit ribosomal RNA", at positions 18 to 461 of the family's 1533-position model. The record is from RNAcentral.